GACGAACGCUGGCGGCGUGCUUAACACAUGCAAGUCGAACGGAAAGGCCCUGCUUUUGUGGGGUGCUCGAGUGGCGAACGGGUGUGUAACACGUGAGUAUACUGCCCUUGUCUUUGGGAUAUCUUCAGGAAACUGGGGCUAAUACCGGAUAGGAGCUCCUGCUGCAUGGUGGGGGUUGGAAAGUUUCGGCGGUUGGGGAUGGACUCGCGGCUUAUCAGCUUGUUGGGGGGGUAGGGGCUUACAAAGGCUUUGACGGGUAGCCGGCCUGAGAGGGUGACCGGGGACAUUAGGACUGAGAUACGGCGCAGACUCCAACGGGAGGCAGCGGUGGAGAAUAUGGCACAGUGGGGGGAAGCCUGAGGCAGCAACGCCGCGUGCGGGAUGACCGCCUACGGGUGAUAAACCGCUGUCGCCUGUGACGAAGCGGGAGUGACGGUAAUGGGUAAAGAAGCACCGGCUAACUACGUG
RNAcentral lists this ribosomal RNA (468 nucleotides) under uncultured bacterium. RNAcentral describes it as "partial 16S ribosomal RNA". It matches the Rfam family "Bacterial small subunit ribosomal RNA", at positions 28 to 507 of the family's 1533-position model. The record is from RNAcentral.